This 238-nucleotide ribosomal RNA is filed under the name uncultured bacterium. Its description in RNAcentral is "partial 16S ribosomal RNA". It matches the Rfam family "Bacterial small subunit ribosomal RNA", at positions 524 to 762 of the family's 1533-position model. The record is from RNAcentral.
UACGUAGGGUGCAAGCGUUAAUCGGAAUUACUGGGCGUAAAGCGUGCGCAGGCGGUGAUGUAAGACAGGUGUGAAAUCCCCGGGCUUAACCUGGGAACUGCAUUUGUGACUGCAUCGCUGGAGUGCGGCAGAGGGGGAUGGAAUUCCGCGUGUAGCAGUGAAAUGCGUAGAUAUGCGGAGGAACACCGAUGGCGAAGGCAAUCCCCUGGGCCUGCACUGACGCUCAUGCACGAAGCGU